RNAcentral lists this signal recognition particle RNA (293 nucleotides) under Saimiri boliviensis boliviensis (Bolivian squirrel monkey). Its description in RNAcentral is "Metazoan signal recognition particle RNA (ENSSBOG00000001841.1)". It matches the Rfam family "Metazoan signal recognition particle RNA". From Rfam's summary of the family: The signal recognition particle (SRP) is a universally conserved ribonucleoprotein. It is involved in the co-translational targeting of proteins to membranes. The eukaryotic SRP consists of a 300-nucleotide 7S RNA and six proteins: SRPs 72, 68, 54, 19, 14, and 9. The record is from Rfam by way of RNAcentral. Lineage: Eukaryota; Metazoa; Chordata; Mammalia; Primates; Cebidae.
ACAAGGCAUGGUGGAGUGAGCCUGUAGUCCCACCUACGCAGAAGCUGAGGCAGAAGCUGAGGAUGGCUUGAGUCCGGGAGUUCUGGACUGUGGUGCACUAUGCUGGCCUGAACACAAUUCGGCAUUGAUAAUGGUGACCUCCUGGAGCAGGGACCACCAGGUUGCCUAAGAAGGUUGGCUGAACUGGCCCUCGUUGAAAUGGAGCAGGUCAAAACUCCUGUGCUGAUCAGUAGUGAGAUUCCCCCUGUGAAUAGCCACUGCCCUCCAUCCUCCAUAGAGAGACACUGUCUCUU